UUCCGAGAUCGCCGUAGCUUCCAA
This 24-nucleotide non-coding RNA is filed under the name Arabidopsis thaliana (thale cress). Lineage: Eukaryota; Viridiplantae; Streptophyta; Magnoliopsida; Brassicales; Brassicaceae. The record is from RNAcentral.